GCUUGUCUCAAAGAUUAAGCCAUGCAUGUCUAAGUAUAAACGACUUUAUACUGUGAAACUGCGAAUGGCUCAUUAUAUCAGUUAUAGUUUAUUUGAUGGUCCUUGCUACUUGGAUAACCGUAGUAAUUCUAGAGCUAAUACGUGCGUAAAUCCCGACUUCUGGAAGGGACGUAACUAUUAGAUAAAAGGCCGACCGGGCUCUGCCCGACUCGCGGUGAAUCAUGAUAGUUUCACGAAUCGCAUGGCCUUGUGCCGGCGAUGUUUCAUUCAAAUUUCUGCCCUAUCAACUUUCGAUGGU
Molecule: ribosomal RNA, 298 nt
Filed under: uncultured fungus
Lineage: Eukaryota; Fungi
Description: partial small subunit ribosomal RNA
Rfam family: Eukaryotic small subunit ribosomal RNA
Source: RNAcentral